RNAcentral lists this ribosomal RNA (253 nucleotides) under uncultured bacterium. RNAcentral's name for it is "partial 16S ribosomal RNA". It matches the Rfam family "Bacterial small subunit ribosomal RNA", at positions 524 to 776 of the family's 1533-position model. The record is from RNAcentral.
UACGUAUGGACCGAGCGUUGUCCGGAAUCAUUGGGCGUAAAGCGCACGCAGGCGGUUGAUUGAGUCAGAUGUGAAAUCCCCGGGCUUAACCUGGGAAUAGCAUUUCAGACUGGGAGUCUAGAGUACUUUAGGGAGGGGUAGAAUUCCACGUGUAGCGGUGAAAUGCGUAGAGAUGUGGAGGAAUACCGAAGGCGAAGGCAGCCCCUUGGGAAUGUACUGACGCUCAUGUGCGAAAGCGUGGGGAGCAAACAGG